CCUACGGGAGGCAGCAGUGAGGAAUAUUGGUCAAUGGACGCAAGUCUGAACCAGCCAUGCCGCGUGCAGGAAGACGGCUUUAUGAGUUGUAAACUGCUUUUGUACGAGGGUAAAUCCCGAUACGUGUAUCGGGUUGAAAGUAUCGUACGAAUAAGGAUCGGCUAACUCCGUGCCAGCAGCCGCGGUAAUACGGAGGAUUCAAGCGUUAACCGGAUUUAUUGGGUUUAAAGGGUGCGUAGGCGGUUCGAUAAGUUAGAGGUGAAAUCCCGGGGCUCAACUCCGGCACUGCCUCUGAUACUGGCGAGCUAGAGUUUAGUAGCGGGAGGCAGAAUGUAUGGUGUAGCGGUGAAAUGCAUAGAGAUCAUACAGAACACCGAUUGCGAAGGCGGCCUGCUGGACGACAACUGACGGUGAGGCGCGAAAGCGUGGGGAGCAAACAGGAUUAGAUACCCGGGUAGUC
RNAcentral lists this ribosomal RNA (460 nucleotides) under uncultured bacterium. RNAcentral's name for it is "partial 16S ribosomal RNA". It matches the Rfam family "Bacterial small subunit ribosomal RNA", at positions 338 to 795 of the family's 1533-position model. The record is from RNAcentral.